Molecule: long non-coding RNA, 459 nt
Filed under: Homo sapiens (human)
Lineage: Eukaryota; Metazoa; Chordata; Mammalia; Primates; Hominidae
Description: HSALNT0182829
Source: RNAcentral
AAGGCACUUUAGCAGGAAUCUGGCGGCAGAGAGGCCGAUUGAUGAGAUGCCGAGGUCUGCAGCCCCAACUGGAGGCGCCCCGGAAGAGUGAGAUGGAGUGGGGAGGGGGUGGACCGGGCAGGGGAGGAGGCAAAGAGUCUGUUUCCCUGGCCCAAGGAGGCCGAGUGGAGCCGGCCCAGAGAUGAACGCAUCUGGGAGCUGCCAAGGUGCUUUGGCUCUAGCAGACAGGAAGAAAUUCUGGCCCAGCUGGAAGUAGAAAGAGGGGAGUGAGUCUCCUGAGGACCAUCUCAGAGGCCCCGGGAUCACCCGAACAGUCCUCCAUGUGAAUCAAUCCCAUGAUGCAACAUGCCUCCCCAGCCCCCGCUCUGACGAUGAUGGCCACGCAGAAUGUCCCGCCCCCACCCUACCAGGACAGCCCACAGAUGACGGCAACCGCCCAGCCACCCUCCAAGGCCCAGG